Molecule: ribosomal RNA, 433 nt
Filed under: uncultured bacterium
Lineage: Bacteria
Description: partial 16S ribosomal RNA
Rfam family: Bacterial small subunit ribosomal RNA
Source: RNAcentral
AACGAACGCUGGCGGCAGGCCUAACACAUGCAAGUCGAGCGAGGACUUCGGUUCUAGCGGCGGACGGGUGAGUAACGCGUGGGAAUGUGCCCUUCUCUACGGAAUAGCCCUGGGAAACUGGGAGUAAUACCGUAUACGCCCUAUUGGGGAAAGAUUUAUCGGAGAAGGAUCAGCCCGCGUUGGACUAGGUAGUUGGUGGGGUAAUGGCCUACCAAGCCGACGAUCCAUAGCUGGUUUGAGAGGAUGAUCAGCCACACUGGGACUGAGACACGGCCCAGACUCCUACGGGAGGCAGCAGUGGGGAAUCUUAGACAAUGGGGGCAACCCUGAUCUAGCCAUGCCGCGUGAGUGAUGAAGGCCUUAGGGUUGUAAAGCUCUUUCAGCUGGGAAGAUAAUGACGGUACCAGCAGAAGAAGCCCCGGCUAACUCCGUG